Mangifera indica (mango) is the source of this 811-nucleotide long non-coding RNA. RefSeq lists it as uncharacterized. The record is from RefSeq and is a predicted model, not a curated record. Lineage: Eukaryota; Viridiplantae; Streptophyta; Magnoliopsida; Sapindales; Anacardiaceae. The transcript is spliced from 3 exons.
UGGGUUCUGGGCUGAUGCUUUUACUCUUUUCAUUUUGGAGCAUACAUCAUGGCAUUGAGCUGAUGCGUUCUAUUUAAAAUUUUAUUUUAACAUGCAUCUGAUGUUGAACUUUUGUUUAACUUGUAUUUUAGUUAUACAUAUUUCCUGAUGUGCUAAUCUCUCUCUCUUGUCUUCCUUUCUUAAACUAGAUUUGGGAUCUUGACACUCUACAGUCUAUUAUGACACUAGAUGGUCAUACUGAUGCACCAAUGUCUCUUCUAUGCUGGGAUCAAUUUUUGUUAUCCUGUUCAUUGGACCAGACUAUAAAAGUUUGGGGUGUUGCAGGAGGCAACUUGGAAGUAACCUAUACACAACUAAAAACAUGGUGUGCCUGCGCUUUGUGGGUUGAAUGAUUCUGGACAACCAGUAUUGUUAUGCGCUUGUAACGAUAAUUCUGUUCACCUAUAUGAUUUACCAUCUUCACUGAGAGGGCGAGGAUAUUGUCAAAACAUGAAGUCAGAGACAUUCAGAUUAGUCCUGAUGGCCUCAUUUUCACCGGUGAUGGAAUCGGAAUGUUAAGCGUAUGGAAGCUGUUGGCAAAGUCAAGUGGAUGAGCCUUCUCAUUAAAAUUUGUACGAGAAACAAGUUGCAGUAUAAAUUGCAGAGUUUGGUUGUAUAUGAAGAGGCAUAGAAAGAACCUAACACUGGGUUUUUUAUCCCCGGUGAUUUUUUCUAAUUUUUUUCAUGGGGUGUGCUUUUCAAUCUGUUCAAAUUUUUGUAGAAGAACUGUAUAAUUUAAUACUGGAAUAAAAUUAUUUUGUUAGCCAUCUCA